UACAGAGGGGGCAAGCGUUGUUCGGAAUUACUGGGCGUAAAGGGCGCGUAGGCGGCCUUCUAAGUCGAACGUGAAAUCCCCGGGCUCAACCCGGGAACUGCGUCCGAUACUGGAAGGCUUGAAUCCGGGAGAGGGAUGUGGAAUUCCAGGUGUAGCGGUGAAAUGCGUAGAUAUCUGGAGGAACACCGGUGGCGAAGGCGACAUCCUGGACCAACACUGACACUGAGGAGCGAAAGCCAGGGGAGCAAACGGG
Molecule: ribosomal RNA, 253 nt
Filed under: uncultured bacterium
Lineage: Bacteria
Description: partial 16S ribosomal RNA
Rfam family: Bacterial small subunit ribosomal RNA
Source: RNAcentral